RNAcentral lists this ribosomal RNA (253 nucleotides) under uncultured bacterium. Its description in RNAcentral is "partial 16S ribosomal RNA". It matches the Rfam family "Bacterial small subunit ribosomal RNA", at positions 524 to 776 of the family's 1533-position model. The record is from RNAcentral.
UACGUAGGGGGCAAGCGUUGUCCGGAAUUAUUGGGCGUAAAGAGCGUGUAGGCGGUCCGGUAAGUCAGCUGUGAAAGUCAAGGGCUCAACCCUUGAAAGCCGGUUGAUACUGUCGAGCUCGAGUCCGAAAGAGGCGAGUGGAAUUCCUGGUGUAGCGGUGAAAUGCGCAGAUAUCAGGAGGAACACCAAUGGCGAAGGCAGCUCGCUGGGACGUGACUGACGCUGAGACGCGAAAGCGUGGGGAGCAAACAGG